GCAGACUCACUCUGUACCGAACUGCAGGCUUCAGUUCAGGUGCUUUUUCUGUCUGCGAGAGUAGUAGCUCACAGGCAUGACAAAUGCCUUCUUUCUUUUUUGUAGAAGGCUGUUACAAUUGCUUUUGGGACAUGGAU
Cygnus atratus (black swan) is the source of this 137-nucleotide small nucleolar RNA. RefSeq annotates it as small nucleolar RNA SNORA77. Lineage: Eukaryota; Metazoa; Chordata; Aves; Anseriformes; Anatidae. The transcript has a single exon. The record is from RefSeq and is a predicted model, not a curated record.